GGGGUUGUGGCUCAGCGGUAGAGUGUUCGUCUAGCAUACACAGAUUCUAUCUGGGUUCUAUCCUCAGCACCACA
Molecule: transfer RNA, 74 nt
Filed under: Marmota monax (woodchuck)
Lineage: Eukaryota; Metazoa; Chordata; Mammalia; Rodentia; Sciuridae
Description: tRNA.Ala
Source: RNAcentral